This is a long non-coding RNA of Tetranychus urticae (two-spotted spider mite), 1293 nucleotides long. RefSeq lists it as uncharacterized. The record is from RefSeq and is a predicted model, not a curated record. Lineage: Eukaryota; Metazoa; Arthropoda; Arachnida; Trombidiformes; Tetranychidae.
CACUAACAAAAGCCAUGCUUUUAUCAAUUUUGUUUUCAUCUAUUAUUAUAAUCAUUAUUGUAUUGUAAUUGUUAUUAUCGUGUUAUUAUUGAAAAACUUAAAAUUUUUCUUAAAUAGCUCAAAAGUAAUUACCAAUUUGUUGAUAUUUUUUUCUGACUCCCCUUUGGUUGGCUCAAGGAUUGAAUGUUUUAUUGCUUCUUGUCUUCUUGCGCUUUGCUUUUUGGCUUUUUUUGGAUCAAUUGGCUUCAACACUUAUUUCUACUGGAUCCAGUCGAGGCUCAUUGCACCAAAUGACCAUCAACAGCUGAUUUUACCCGUUCAAUUUCAAUCCAUUUCAAGAUUAUUUUUGCCCUUUCUCAUUUAUCCCGUUAAAGUGGUCAACUGAUCAUUGUAUAAAGAUUUGGUUUGCUUUAAUUGCCGUCUCUUUUUAAAAGCAACAUUAGGACUUCAACACUUUUACCAAGAUGCAUUCAUUUGAGGAGGCAAAAUGUGUAAAACCAUUUCAACUCGAUUAUGUCCAGUUAGCCAGUUUACUCAGAAGACUGCAUCUGAAAGUUGAUUGUUAAUUGAAUCCCGGACCAAGUAAUAAUAAUAAUCAACAGGAUCAAUUUUGGUAACUGGCUUAGGUUUGAUUGUUGAAGUAAAAUGUAGCAAGAAGAUUUGGAAGAGAGAGAAAAAAAUGUGUUACCAAAAAGAGUAUGUUGAUGAAUCGAUCAACGAACUGUGAAACAAGUAAAGUCAACUUGUACCUUGGCGAUCACUUUUUACCCGUUUAUGCUCAUGUUUUUCAUCCUAAUUUUACUCACUGUGUUCAGUUAAAUUAUAAUGGUGGUUAUACUGUAAUGGUAAAAAAAAGACAACAUAAACAACAACAUAAAGUCAACCUAAAGGGUUUGUGAACCUUCAUUGAGAUUAUCAAGUCAAAUAAAGUCUUAAUAAUUGUUGAAUUAACAAUCAUUAUACCGAUUAUAACAGCAAUAAUGAAAACAAAGCAAAAGUCCAAAAAAUCAUAAGCAUCAGUGAUAACAUUAUUUAAUCAUUAUAUUCAUGUUGAGAUGAUGAAAGCGUGAAUUUGGUUCCAUUUGUAACAAUUUGAUAAUAACGCAACUCUUAACCAACUCGACACGUAACAUUUGGUACCAAAGAUUGUUAAACUUAUUUCAAUAUUUUCUGGUUAAAAUUCUGGUUCUUCCAUUGACUAUUUAGGUUCACAUGAUAUCAAGAGUCCAUUGUGAAUGACAGUCAAGUAAAUGAUUGAUGAAGUCACAAUAAAGACAAUUAGUAAACCUGCAA